RNAcentral lists this ribosomal RNA (253 nucleotides) under uncultured bacterium. RNAcentral's name for it is "partial 16S ribosomal RNA". It matches the Rfam family "Bacterial small subunit ribosomal RNA", at positions 524 to 776 of the family's 1533-position model. The record is from RNAcentral.
UACGGAGGGGGCUAGCGUUGUUCGGAAUUACUGGGCGUAAAGCGUGCGUAGACGGUUACAUAAGUCGGGUGUGAAAGCCCCGGGCUCAACCUGGGAAUUGCAUUCGAGACUGCGUAGCUAGGGUGCGGAAGAGGGAAGCGGAAUUUCCGGUGUAGCGGUGAAAUGCGUAGAUAUCGGAAGGAACACCAGUGGCGAAAGCGGCUUCCUGGUCCAGCACCGACGUUCAGGCACGAAAGCGUGGGGAGCAAACGGG